Molecule: transfer RNA, 72 nt
Filed under: Streptococcus mutans
Lineage: Bacteria; Bacillati; Bacillota; Bacilli; Lactobacillales; Streptococcaceae
Also listed under: 1 other name
Description: tRNA-Arg
Rfam family: tRNA
About the family: Transfer RNA (tRNA) molecules are approximately 80 nucleotides in length. Their secondary structure includes four short double-helical elements and three loops (D, anti-codon, and T loops).
Source: RNAcentral
GUCCCCUUAGUUAAAUGGAUAUAACAUCUCCCUCCUAAGGAGCAGUUGCUGGUUCGAUUCCAGCAGGGGAUA